This is an RNA transcript of Piliocolobus tephrosceles (Ugandan red Colobus), 961 nucleotides long. It is a transcript of the gene named 60S ribosomal protein L39 pseudogene, with no coding region annotated. NCBI's taxonomy places the organism in Eukaryota, Metazoa, Chordata, Mammalia, Primates, Cercopithecidae. The record is from RefSeq and is a predicted model, not a curated record. The transcript has a single exon.
GUUCUUAAUUAUCCUGAAUCACAAUGAAGAGUAGAGAUAAUCCAAAAUAGAUUUUUUAAUCAUUCACACUUAGUUUGGGGUGUUCUAUGUUUGUUAGGAAUUAAACUGGUUCUAACCAAUUACUGAAGCUGGUACUGGGAGGAUUCAACUAGAGAGGAUUCAAAAAGCUGCCUUUUUCUCUUUGCCUCUGUGCCUUACUCAUUCCUCUCCUUUUCCUCACUUCACACUAGGGCUGGGUACCAUCACACUGCAGUAUAAUUCCAAAUGCAUUUGCAAGCUAACUUCCCCGGAGUCUGAUUGUGCUUUCCUUUUGGCCUUUACCUUCAUUGGAGGUGAUUGAGGUAGUCUGAUUUUUUAGCUAAGUCUAAACCUAAGACUAUUAUUUGUCUACCAGCUAGGCUUCAGGCUGCAUUCCCUGUGAGUCCUUAGAUAAGGCCUGUGAAAAACUGAAAGCAGCAUCUCCUAUUUCAAUAAGAAUGAAAUGAUUGGUUUGGAGUAUAAAGAGAUUGAUACCUUGUAUGAUGUCAUAAACUGUGAAGCCACUUGCUUUUAAAAAAAAAGAAAAAGAGCCCCCUCUUUUCCUUUCUCCGCGAUCGUGGUGUGAUCUUGCCUCCACUUCUCGCCAUGUCUUCUCACAAGACUUUCAGGAUUAAGCGAUUCCUGGCCAAGAAACAAAAGCAAAAUCGUCCCAUUCCCCAGUGGAUUCGGAUGAAAACUGGAAAUAAAAUAAGGUACAACUCCAACAGGAGACAUUGGAGAAGAACCAAGCUGGGUCUAUAAGGAAUUGCACAUGAGAUGGCACAUAUAUUUGUGCUGUCUGAAGGUCACGAUCACAUUACCAUAUCAAACUGAAAAUGUCACCACUCUCUGGAGAGUUCGACGUAUUUUCCUCUCUGAAUCUAUUAUGAAUGCGUUGGUUGGCUGGGUUCAGUAAUAAAUAUGUGAGGCCUUUCAUUUCAAA